RNAcentral lists this ribosomal RNA (95 nucleotides) under Anaerolineae bacterium. Lineage: Bacteria; Bacillati; Chloroflexota; Anaerolineae. The record is from RNAcentral.
GUACACCCGGUCCCAUCUCGAACCCGGUCGUUAAGCCCGCCUGCACCGAUGGUACUUGGGGGGAAACCCCCUGGGAGCGUAGGCCGCUGCCAACC